Molecule: ribosomal RNA, 620 nt
Filed under: Bacillus subtilis
Lineage: Bacteria; Bacillati; Bacillota; Bacilli; Caryophanales; Bacillaceae
Description: bacterial SSU rRNA
Rfam family: Bacterial small subunit ribosomal RNA
Source: RNAcentral
CCCGGCUUAACCGGGGAGGGUCAUUUGGAAACUGGGGAACUUGAGUGCAGAAGAGGAGAGUGGAAUUCCACGUGUAGCGGUGAAAUGCGUAGAGAUGUGGAGGAACACCAGUGGCGAAGGCGACUCUCUGGUCUGUAACUGACGCUGAGGAGCGAAAGCGUGGGGAGCGAACAGGAUUAGAUACCCUGGUAGUCCACGCCGUAAACGAUGAGUGCUAAGUGUUAGGGGGUUUCCGCCCCUUAGUGCUGCAGCUAACGCAUUAAGCACUCCGCCUGGGGAGUACGGUCGCAAGACUGAAACUCAAAGGAAUUGACGGGGGCCCGCACAAGCGGUGGAGCAUGUGGUUUAAUUCGAAGCAACGCGAAGAACCUUACCAGGUCUUGACAUCCUCUGACAAUCCUAGAGAUAGGACGUCCCCUUCGGGGGCAGAGUGACAGGUGGUGCAUGGUUGUCGUCAGCUCGUGUCGUGAGAUGUUGGGUUAAGUCCCGCAACGAGCGCAACCCUUGAUCUUAGUUGCCAGCAUUCAGUUGGGCACUCUAAGGUGACUGCCGGUGACAAACCGGAGGAAGGUGGGGAUGACGUCAAAUCAUCAUGCCCCUUAUGACCUGGGCUACACACG